UGAAGCUUUUUGUGCUUCAUGAAUCAUGAAUCAAGAAUCAUGAUGGAGUAUUUUUUGAGGAUCAGGAAAGAUAAAAGGGUUCAGGCCCAAUUCUCCUGUGGGCUAUAAAUUUUUAAAUAAGCCUAUCAACAAAGUUUAAAACCAUAACAGAAAGCUCUAUUCUAUACGUGACACAAAGGAACAGGCUAAUUUCUAGGGUUUAAGAGCUCUACGAUUAAUUGCAGGGCUAAAUUCAAUCUUUCUUUACAAUCUUUUCGAGCCAGAAUUCUUUCUCGAAGGUUGGUGUGUUCUGGUUGUGACAUAAUGGCUAGAGUUUAUGUGGGAAAUUUGGAUCCCAGAGUUUCUGAGAGGGAUCUUGAAGAUGAAUUUAGAAUGUAUGGUGUUCUUCGCAGUGUGUGGGUUGCACGAAGGCCGCCAGGAUACGCAUUUGUUGAGUUUGAUGAUCGCAGAGAUGCUGUGGAUGCGAUUCGUGCUUUGGAUGGGAAGAAUGGGUGGCGUGUGGAACUCUCGCAUAAUUCCAAGGGUGGUGGAGGCCGUGGCGGCGGCAGCGGCGGUGGCGGACGCGGACGCGGUGGUGAGGAUAUGAAAUGCUAUGAAUGUGGCGAACCUGGUCAUUUUGCUCGAGAGUGUCGCCUGCGCAUUGGGUCUCGAGGUCUGGGAAGUGGUCGUCGCCGAAGCCCCAGCCCAAAGCGCCGUAGAAGUCCAAGUUAUGGGUAUGGGCGCAGGAGUUACAGCCCUCGUGGUGGUAGAAGAUCUCCCAGACGCCGCAGCGUCUCACCUCGCCGUGGUCGCAGCUACAGCAGAUCCCCUCCAUACCGUCAUGCCCGCCGUGAUUCUCCUUAUGCUAAUGGAGAUUGAGUGCUGGAAGCCAUAACUGAAGCAAGAUGGAAGGACAUCAAAGGAAGCUCUAUCUGCUAUACUGUUGUUCUAGUAGGACCAGUUGAUAUUAGUUGUGCUCAUGUCAUGACAGUGAGGUUUGUUAGAAACUGGAUUCUGGAUGGCUUCAUCAGUUUCGGCCAUUAAAAAGGGUACUCGGGAUACCAUUUUGUCGGCUUGCUGUCUCAGCUGCUUACUGAAUCUUGGAGGUAUGGUUUUCGGCUAAAACAGCAUCGUUUCGCCACUUUACUGCAUGUUAGUGCACACGGUUUUUCUCCAUUGCUUCUCUGCACGUUACCUUCUCCUCAUCGCCCCUGCAUGUUAUACAACUUGAAUCACAUGUUGAAAUUACCAAAUGUUCAGAAACUUGGUUGUGCACGACAUUUUUUACUGUAUUCUUCUGCAACAAAGCUUCUGUCCCACUUGCGACCUUCACACUUCACUAGCUGCUUCAAGAAGGUGAAGCUGAUCUUAUUGUUGUCCCUGUACUGCAUUCUUCUGCAACAAAGCUUCUGUCCCACUUACGACCUUCACAUUUCUGAUGGCUGCCCCAAGAAGGUGAAGCUGUUCUUGUUGUUGUCCCCAUCUCUGCUCAUCCGCACUUCGUCCUCCAUAGACUUGCUUAAUGUUGCUUUUUCAAGUACUGCUGAACCUGCAAAGCAUACAACCUGUUCUUAUGCAGUUUGCAUCAGCAAAGUGUCAUGAUCUAGUUUAGAUCUCAACUUCUCAUCCAUGCAUCAACAUGAUUUAGUCUAGAUCUCAACUUCUCAUAUAUGGGUUCAGUAGUAUAAAUGCCCUUUGGGCUUUGGGCACCUCACUUUCCAAGAAACAGGUAACAGGUGAAUUGCUUCAAGUGUUGAUGGAAACCUGAGAAUUGAUUUUCAUGAUUUUCCAGUACAAGAUAAAAUGUAUCUAUAGUCCAUAUGAAUCUUCAGGGGAAGGAUCUAAAGAUAAUCCCGCUCACAGGUCACAGUUGUUUCAGUUUCUGGGAUGGUACUGUUGUUCCAGAAACUUCUUUAUUCUGGUGCUUCCUUGGAUUUUUGUACUUGAUUCUACUACAUCUCAACUUGUUUUGGAACUGAUAAUGAUCUCCCUGGAUGCGAACCAUGCGAAAUCAAACUUCAAGCACUUUGUACCUUUUUUUUAAUUAUUAUUUUGUAUUUUUUGGAGGAGGAAUAAGCUAAGAGUUCCUUCACAUACCCAAAGCUCUUUAUGAUUCCCUUAGAACAUGAUAGUUUAAUGAUCUUUAUGAUUCCCUUGAA
RNA transcript from Ricinus communis (castor bean), 2138 nucleotides. It is a transcript of the gene named serine/arginine-rich splicing factor RSZ21, with no coding region annotated. The record is from RefSeq and is a predicted model, not a curated record. Lineage: Eukaryota; Viridiplantae; Streptophyta; Magnoliopsida; Malpighiales; Euphorbiaceae. The transcript has 7 exons.